Sitophilus oryzae (rice weevil) is the source of this 597-nucleotide long non-coding RNA. RefSeq lists it as uncharacterized. The record is from RefSeq and is a predicted model, not a curated record. Lineage: Eukaryota; Metazoa; Arthropoda; Insecta; Coleoptera; Curculionidae. The transcript has 4 exons.
GGAAUGUCUCAAAGCCGUCUAAAGAAAUUUGCUGUUCCAACUUUAUUGAUGUCAGACAAUUCCAUGAUGGAAGUUGAAGCUACUAUUCCUGCUGUUCCUAUUACAUCUGAAGCGGUUUCAGAAUCUACUUCACCAGAUGUAAUUGCUAUUCCAUCAACAUCCAAGGAAGUUACAUCUGAAGCUGUUUCGGAAUCUACUUCACCAGAUGUAAUCGCUAUUCCAUCAACAUCCAAGGAAGUUACAUCUGAAGGUCAGUAAAAUAUUUUAUAAACACAAGGCUGAAUACAGGGUGGCGCACCUCAUUCAUCUUGGUUGAUUAUACGAAAACGUAAAGAUAUAGAAACAAAAUAUUUUAUGGGUAUAUGUGGAAAGACAAUGUACUUAAUUUAAAAUUAUUUUAAAAUGUACAGGGUGUGUCAGGACUAAGAUCCAUACCAAAGUUAUAUUUUUUCUUAUGGAACACACGGUAUUUUAUUUCACUUUGGGAUUCUUGGACAUAAAAUAAGGUAUUUAUUAUAAGGGUUUAAUAUGUUUAAAAGGUUUGGUUUUUGAGAUAUUUAAAUACAUUUAAAUAUGCAUGUUAUAAUAACAAAGUUU